This 406-nucleotide long non-coding RNA is filed under the name Pan troglodytes (chimpanzee). Its description in RNAcentral is "long non-coding RNA NONPTRT012400". Lineage: Eukaryota; Metazoa; Chordata; Mammalia; Primates; Hominidae. The record is from RNAcentral.
GCCCCAGCCUCCACGGUGACCGGCUACCCUGUGACAUCAGGCGCCCAGCACAGGGCCUGGACGCGGGUGCAGGAGAGGGAGUCAGGGAACGGGGAGGAGCAGGGGUCCCCACUGUGUGCCUGGUGCGACAAAAGGCGAGCUGCAGAGAGGUCGGGAGGAGCCGGCAAACACAAGGAUGCCCACCGGGCGCGGAGGGCCUGGGCUGGAGGAGCAUUUAGGAUGCAGAAUCGCGGGAACCUGGCAUGGAGAGAGAGGCCAAGGACUUUUGGCUUGGGCCAGGGCUGUUUGGAGAUGCUUUCAACAAGGGGAAGAAGAUUGGGCACAGAAAAUGUAGACUGAAUGGAACACUGAGGCAGGAGCAGGAUUAGAAGAAUUGCUGAGAAGAAGCAUGCUUCCCAACUCUGAG